UGAAUCUUAAUUUGCAUUAUUCUACAUACACUUCAGCAAGUUCAUACCGUGCAAAACACAAAUAAUUAUAAAUGUGGCAAUGUGCUAAAUAACAGACAACUAACAUGGUUUUCAAAUUGUGUCUCAAAAUGGAGAGUCAUCUUUCAUCUAUGUAAUGGACUUUAGAGACUGUACAGUGUACACUACUUGUGCAGCUGGUUUCUAUGGUCUCAACUGGUUCUCUUGCUCUUAUGUUAUUUUCUCAUUCUUGAGCGGUGAUUUUCCAGAAUAGUUUGGGUAAGAAUCACAAUUAUGCAGAAUGGAAGACAUCACUAUAAUCCUAAUGGAAGGCAAGUAAAAAAGAAGAUUUCAUUGAUGGAUUCAAUAUGAACAAUAAAAGUGAAAAUAGAAAUCGACCUUUUACAUUAGACCAUUGUUUCAAAACAAAGGUCUAAUAUGACAUUUGUUUUACAUUAAGACAAUGUAAAACAAAUGAUAAAGAUAAGAACAUAGGUUGCUAAUGUGGACUUCUAUUCUUGUCCUUCUCUGCCUUCAUUUCUACUUCAGGCAGAAAUAGUCACGACAUAACAUUUUACAAGUUAUCGACA
RNAcentral lists this long non-coding RNA (587 nucleotides) under Trifolium pratense (red clover). RNAcentral's name for it is "long non-coding RNA (TPRA_LNC004835)". The record is from RNAcentral. Lineage: Eukaryota; Viridiplantae; Streptophyta; Magnoliopsida; Fabales; Fabaceae.